GCUCCGCUGAGAAAGAAGCGCAUCUAAUUAGGUGCUCCUUUCCGAGAUGAGAUGAGCGUGGACCGCUGCUGAGGGAAGGCUUAUUCAUUUGCUGGGUCCUCGGCUCCUUCCUCUUUACCUUUUCCCUCCUUGUGCCGACCGCUUCACGUUGCCACCGUCGCUUGAGUUGGUGAAAAGUGUGAGCAUGUUGUCGGGAAGGGGUGGCUUUCGCUAGUCGGAUACGCAGGCAGGAGAGAACUGCUCCUGGGGAGGAAUCGCAUGGGAACGCCGUUCACCGCUCUGCUUCCUCUUGCCUCCACCACGGCUGCCUCCAUGACUCCACAGACUUGGCUGUUCUAUGGGUUUGGAUGUUGUUACAUACUGACAUCAGCGCUCCUCGCCUCACAGGCCCAAGGACUGCAGUGCUAUGGCUGUAACAUCAUCCAGGGACAGAGGUAUGUGGAUGUGGGCUGCUCGAACCCCGAGAUCAUCACCUGCUCUCACGCCCAUAAAGGCUUCAAGCAUCGCUUCUGUAUCAAGACAGAGAGCAGUGAGUCGCCUUCUGCGCCACUCUUGGCCAUUCACACUCAGCGUGGACAUAGAGUUUCACCACACUGUUUACGCAGAAUUGAUCCAUCAACACCGUCGGUUCCAGAAGUUCAAAUACUCUCGGUAAUGACACUGCAUUAAUGCUAGCUUGCGCUUGCAAACAGUACUCACAAUUUAUAAGAAUUUUAAAAUGACCCUAAUAUCUGCAUAGAAAAACACGUAAUAUAAUAAUUUCAAGGUUUUUUUAACGCCAAGUCUGCUGAUUCCAGCUCAACGAGCUCUUGUAAAGCAGAGUGUUUGUUCACUGACGGGCUCCCCGGAUAUAAAGAAAAAGGGGGUCAAACAAAGGUACAAUGGAGAAAAGGGCACCCUGCAUGUUUUCUCUGCCCGGGAAGCAUUUUCCUGUCACUCAGUCUCAGACCACAAGAAAUCACUCAUGGUCUUCAUCUGGCCAUGUAAAUUCUGGCUUCUUUUUUGCAAACAAUAAGCUCUUAACUUUUGUGGGAAUGAAAAAUUUGCUCUGGAAAUUUACAUUUGAAGCACUGGGGUCCACCCACCAAUGUCCCUGAUCCUCUAACCAAAGUGGAUUACAUUUCCUUCCCUCUGCUGUUCAGAUUUUCAUAUGUUUAAAACAUAUUAUUAGAGCUGUAUCUUGAUUGCGAGUUUCACCAAACCACAGCCUAGUACAAAUACGGCUGCUCUUGUACUAUUUAG
This 1242-nucleotide long non-coding RNA is filed under the name Scleropages formosus (Asian bonytongue). RNAcentral's name for it is "lncRNA (ENSSFOG00015030504.1)". The record is from RNAcentral. Lineage: Eukaryota; Metazoa; Chordata; Actinopteri; Osteoglossiformes; Osteoglossidae.